Homo sapiens (human) is the source of this 752-nucleotide long non-coding RNA. Ensembl annotates it as long intergenic non-protein coding RNA 2208. The record is from Ensembl. NCBI's taxonomy places the organism in Eukaryota, Metazoa, Chordata, Mammalia, Primates, Hominidae.
ACACAUAUGCCUUGAGUUGCUCUUCAGUGAAUAUCACUUUUCCUUUCAUGUUUUUUCUACAUGCUAUUAUCUGUAUGAAAUGAAGACCAAGAAAGGAUGGGAAGAAGGAGAAGAAAAAUUUUGAUUUAUCUCAGAAACUAUACUCCGAAGUGAGAGUCCUGGUUGCAGCAUCCUUCACCGAAGCACGAAGCAGAAUCAAGCUGUUGCCAUGAAGCUUGUUUCAAGAGCUCAGAAAUACUCCAGGGACUCCUUUACUACUGCUUUUCAAAGAGGCCUUUUUUUCUCUCUUCUCCUUUUCCUGCAAAGAGGGUUAUAUCCAGUGCUCAAGGACAUGGGAUUAUCAGCCUAAGGCAUGAGUACAUGCUGUGGAAACAGAAAUAUGUAUGAAGGGAUGUAUGAAACCACAGAAUAAAUGGAAUCCACAUUCUUGAAGUAGCUACAACUCUACUUGAGGUCCCAAGGCACGUAGAUAGUACCUAUACAUCUCAUCAGGAACAUGGAUGGUUCUCUGCUAUCAGCUGAAGUGCUGUGACCACAAAACUGAAAAUUCCCAUUCUGUGUCCUUGCCAAUAAAGAAUGUCCAUCAGAGCACGCCCAGUAUCCUAGCUCCUUAUCCAGACUGUGCUUCUCAGUAAGUACACAGAGCCUGAUUUUAAUGUCUUCACUCAGCCCUGGUUUCCACCAUUUUCAGUGAAAGAAAAAUUCUAAUGAAAGGCUAAUAAAUGAUGUGCAAAUGGCUAAUAUUCUUGCAA